UACAGAGGUCCCAAGCGUUGUUCGGAUUCACUGGGCGUAAAGGGUGCGUAGGUGGCUACGAUAAGUUUGAUGUGAAAGCUCCGGGCUCAACCCGGAAAUGGCAUUGAAGACUAUUGAGCUAGAGGUUUGGAGGGGGGACUGGAAUGCUUGGUGUAGCAGUGAAAUGCGUAGAUAUCAAGCGGAACACCGGUGGCGAAGGCGAGUCCCUGGACAACACCUGACACUGAGGCACGAAAGCUAGGGGAGCAAACAGG
RNAcentral lists this ribosomal RNA (254 nucleotides) under uncultured bacterium. RNAcentral describes it as "partial 16S ribosomal RNA". It matches the Rfam family "Bacterial small subunit ribosomal RNA", at positions 524 to 776 of the family's 1533-position model. The record is from RNAcentral.